This 498-nucleotide ribosomal RNA is filed under the name Oligosita balcluthae. Its description in RNAcentral is "eukaryotic LSU rRNA". The stretch from base 1 to 91 matches the Rfam family "5.8S ribosomal RNA", at positions 65 to 154 of the family's 154-position model. Lineage: Eukaryota; Metazoa; Arthropoda; Insecta; Hymenoptera; Trichogrammatidae. The record is from RNAcentral.
UUGUCAACUGCAGGACACAUGAACAUCGACAUUUCGAACGCACAUUGCGGUCCACGGAUUUAAUUCCCGGACCACGUCUGGCUGAGGGUCGUUCAUAGAUACAAAUCAGACUGCUUUGUCGAGCGUGAGCUCGUCGAAGCGAAUACCUGAGCGUUCGUCGGGACUCUCACUUCUCACUUUUCUCUUUCUUAGCGAGAGAGAGAGUGUGCUGGAGGAGAUGUCGUUGAACGGCGUCGCUUGAAAUAACGAUGAAAUAGUCGAAAGACCAUUCGAGCGCGAGCUUUUCGAACGUUGCGCGCGAAGCGUCUUAUGCGCCGUAGCAGCAGCAGCAGCACGAGAAUCGCGUCGAGUCCCUGAGCUCUAGUUUUUCUUUGUCGAACGACGGAGCGGACCGACGUGCUUGUGCGUGCGUGUUACAGGCUGACGCUUUAGCGCUUUUGCUCGCGUUCGUUGAAUUGUUUUUAUUUUUUGAUCGACGACCUCAGAGCAGGCAAGACA